RNAcentral lists this ribosomal RNA (326 nucleotides) under uncultured eukaryote. RNAcentral describes it as "partial 18S ribosomal RNA". It matches the Rfam family "Eukaryotic small subunit ribosomal RNA", at positions 1470 to 1796 of the family's 1831-position model. The record is from RNAcentral.
CCCUUAGAUGUUCUGGGCUGCACGCGCGCUACACUGAUGCGUUCAACGAGUUUUUAGCUUAUCUGAUAAGAUUGGCUAAUCUUCUGAAAACGCAUCGUGAUGGGGAUAGAUUAUUGUAAUUAUUAAUCUUCAACGAGGAAUUCCUAGUAGGUGUGAAUCAUCAGUUCACGCCGAUUACGUCCCUGCCCUUUGUACACACCGCCCGUCGCUCCUACCGAUUGAGUGAUCCGGCGAAUAAUUCGGACCGGUGAGCUUCCAGGUUUACCUGGCUGCUUGCUGGAAAGUCUAGUGAACCUUAUCACUUAGAGGAAGGAGAAGUCGUAACA